Micropterus salmoides (largemouth bass) is the source of this 598-nucleotide long non-coding RNA. RefSeq lists it as uncharacterized. The record is from RefSeq and is a predicted model, not a curated record. The transcript has 2 exons. NCBI's taxonomy places the organism in Eukaryota, Metazoa, Chordata, Actinopteri, Centrarchiformes, Centrarchidae.
GAAAUGCAAUGCUCCUCCCUCUAAAGUCCAAGAAACUGUUCCGUCCAGAGCCGAAAUGGCCCGUGAGAGCGGGGACCCAGCUUCGUUAUUUUAGCGUGGGUCGAGCCAAGAUGGCGUGCGGUGCAGCAGGAGUUUCCCCCAUGGUGCAGGGACGCAGGUGGAUUUUUCUCAGGUGUGAGAAGGCAAGCCCUGAGGUGUGUUGGCGAUGCCCCCCAAAGGUGAUGAAAGGAAUCACAUACCUCCCACUGCUCCAUCUUGAAAAUCCUCUAAUGACAUUUCAAUGUGAUAAAAUAAAUAAAUGUGAAAUUCUGAGACCUUUAGAACGAAGAAAAUUUAAACGGGGAUAACAUCACUUUCUAAUUAGAACACUGGGCUAACUCGAUUAAUUUUUACCCUCUUUGCCAUGAAUUAUAGGUAUAAUGAACUAAAAUAUGUUUAUAUAGGCUAUGUCACAUUUUCUGUAAGCAAGACCCCACAGAACAGUUCACCUAAUAUAUAAUUAUCAUUUAAUAUUAUCUAAUAAAGUUGUUGAAUUCAACUUUUCCACUACAAACAUACACUAUAAAAUGUAUUUAACAAUAAAAGACAUUGAAUUGUA